Pseudomyrmex gracilis is the source of this 328-nucleotide long non-coding RNA. RefSeq lists it as uncharacterized. NCBI's taxonomy places the organism in Eukaryota, Metazoa, Arthropoda, Insecta, Hymenoptera, Formicidae. The transcript is spliced from 3 exons. The record is from RefSeq and is a predicted model, not a curated record.
UAUGAGCAUUAGACUCAUAAAGUUUGCUAAACAGUACUCUCAGCCUUUUUAAAAUGAAGUUCUACAUAUUCGCUCUUUUGAUUCUGGUUGCAGUUGCUACUGCACUUCCAGUCGAAGAAACCUUGCAAAAUAAAGCCUCUGAUCUAGAGGCAGGUGAAACAUAUGGAUGGACAUGUUCGAUCGGUGGUGAUAACCUUUGUAAUACGGUAUGCAAACAAGAGGGAAGAAAAGGAGGAAAAUGCAAAAGUGGUACUUGCGUGUGCCAUGGAUAAAACAUAGAGAAGCUGGCUAAAACUGAUUAAAUCAGUAACGAUUUUUUCAGAAGACU